GGCCGCGUGGCGUAAUGGCAACGCGUCUGACUACGAUUGUUGAUAAUCAGGAGAUUGCAGGUUCGACCCCUGCCGCGGUCA
Transfer RNA from Neolentinus lepideus HHB14362 ss-1, 81 nucleotides. It matches the Rfam family "tRNA". From Rfam's summary of the family: Transfer RNA (tRNA) molecules are approximately 80 nucleotides in length. Their secondary structure includes four short double-helical elements and three loops (D, anti-codon, and T loops). NCBI's taxonomy places the organism in Eukaryota, Fungi, Basidiomycota, Agaricomycetes, Gloeophyllales, Gloeophyllaceae. The record is from Rfam.